Oncorhynchus tshawytscha (Chinook salmon) is the source of this 6681-nucleotide long non-coding RNA. The record is from Ensembl. Lineage: Eukaryota; Metazoa; Chordata; Actinopteri; Salmoniformes; Salmonidae.
GUCUUCAGGGUUAUGACUGCUCUGAGUAUCUGUCCUCCUAGAGGUCUUCAGGGGUUAUGACUGCUCUGAGUGUCUGUCCUCCUAGAGGUCUUCAGGGGUUAUGACUGCUCUGAGUAUCUGUCCUCCUAGAGGUCUUCAGGGGUUAUGACUGCUCUGAGUAUCUGUCCUAGAGGUCUUCAGGGGUUAUGACUGCUCUGAGUAUCUGUCCUCCUAGAGGUCUUCAGGGGUUAUGACUGCUCUGAGUGUCUGUCCUCCUAGAGGUCUUCAGGGGUUAAGACUGCUCUGAGUAUCUGUUCCCCUGGAGGUCUUCAGGGGUUAUGACAGUCAGAGUUAAUAGUGGAAAGGGUGCUACAGGUCGCUCUGGUGCCUCUAGUGGUAGGGAGGCCACUGUAUGUAUACAGUAAUCAUGCUUUAUAGUAAUGGCAAUAUUUAUCUCUCUCUAUAUAUAUAUAUAGUGCAUUCCAAGACUGUCUUAAACUAAAAAAAAAAACUCCUUAGAAGGAAGAGGGUUUUACCGGUAAGCGGAUCUAUCGUCGCUUCUAUAAGCUAAAAGCCUUUCUUUAAAAAAAUGUAUUUGCGAAAAAUGUAAAAAAUGUAUUUGCGAUUUUUCUUUUUAAAAGGUAUUGACGAGUGGUUGUGUAAAAUGGAGCUGGAGCUAAGUGGAGGGAGUAAGGAAUGUUUUCAACCUGCAGGUCAGGUGUGUUUGAUGAUAAGGUGAGUUCGGUGUGUUUGGUUGAAACAAGCGAAGCUGAGUUUGGUUGAUCUUUGUUGUGACGAUAGUGUUUUAAGAUAAUAUCAGCAUGAUAAUAUCCGCCUUCUCUGCUCGCUUGAAUGUCUGACCUGAUCUUAGUAACCUUUGUUAGACUUUGGGCUCAAUCUAUCGAUCGGUCAAGUGAUCGAUCAAGUAGUCUGGUCAGUGUUAAGAGUCCAACCCUGAGGGACAAACGGAAUCUCAGGUAAACCCAAACAUGGUGGAUGAGGCUGAUGAAUCGUCCAAUAUUUCUCUGUAGUAAAGGAAUGUUUCAUAUCAUAUAAUAAUAUUGACUGUUUUUCUGCCAAAACAUGAACACCCAGUGAGCAAAAAUGGGUUGAAAGGAUGUCUUUUUUAACUUGUUUUCCUCACUGCAUUUACUAUGUAUUAUGUACAGUUGAAGUGGGAAGUUCACAUACACCUUUAGCCAAAUACAUUUAAACUCAGUUUUUCACAAUUCCUGACAUUUAUAAUCCUAGUAAAAAUUCCCUGUUUUAGAUCAGUUAGGAUCACUACUUAAUUUUAAAUAAUGUGAAAUGUCAGAAUAAUAGGAGAGAUAAUGAUUUAUUUCAGCUUUUAUUUCUUUCAUCACAUUCCCAGUGGGUCAGAAGUUUACAUACACUCAAUUAGUAUUUGGUAGCAUUGCCUUUAAAUUGUUUAACUUGGGUCAAAUGUUUCGGGUAGCCUUCCACAAGCUUCCCACAAUAAGUUGGGUGAAUUUUGGCCCAUUCCUCCUGACAGAGCUGGUGUAACUGAGUCAGGUUUGUAGGCCUCCUUGCUCGCACACGCUUUUUUAGUUCUGCCCAAAGAUUUUAUAUAGGAUUGAGGUCAGGGCUUUGUGAUGGCCACUCUAAUACCUUGAGUUUGUUGUCCUUAAGCCAUUUUGCCACAACUUUGGAUGUAUGCUUGGGGUCAUUGUCCAUUUGGAAGACACAUUUGCGACCAAGCUUUAACUUCCUGACUGAUGUCUUGUGGAUAUAUUGAAGCAACAUCUCAUCAUUUUCUUUCCACAUGAUGCCAUCUAUUUUGUGAAGUGCACCAGUCCCUCCUGCAGCAAAGCACCCCCACAACAUGUACUGCUACCCCCAUGCUUCACAGUUGGGAUGGUGUUCUUCGGCAUGUAAGCCUCCCAUUUUCGGCUUCGGCUUGUAAGCCUCCCAUGCAAGCCUCCCUCGUUUUACUGUGGAUAUAGAUACUUUUGUACCUGUUGCCUCCAGCAUCUUCACAAGGUCAUUUGCUGUUGUUCUGGGAUUGAUUUGCACUUUUCUCACCAAAGUACGUUCAUCUCUAGGAGACAGAACGCGUCUCCUUCCUGAGCGGUAUGAUGGCUGCGUGGUCCCAUGGUCCCAUUUAUACUUGCGUGCUAUUGUUUGUACAGAUGAGCGUGGUACCUUCAGGUGUUUGGAAAUUGCUCCCAAGUAUGAACCAGACUUGUGGAGGUCUACAAUUGUUUUUCUGGGGUCUUGGCUGAUUUCAUUUGAUUUUUCCAUGAUGUCAAGCAAAGAGGCACUGAGUUUGAAGGUAGGCCUUGAUAUACAUCCACAGGUACACCUCCAAUUGACUCAAAUGAUGUCAAUCAGCCUAUCAGAAGCCAUGACAUAAUUUUCUGGAAUUUUCCAAGCUGUUUAAAGGCUCAGUCAACUUAGUGAAUGUAAACCUCUGACCCACUGGAAUUGUGAUACAGUGAAUUAUAAGUUAAAUAAUCUCUGUAAACAAUUGUUUGAAAAAUGACUUGUGUCAUGCACAAAGUAGAUGUCCUAAUGACUUGCCAAAACUAUAGUUUGUUAACAAGAAAUGUGUGGAGUGGUUGAAAAAACGAGUUAAUGACUCCAACCUAAGUGGAUGUAAACUUCCCACUUCAACUGUAUGUCUUAUUUUUAAUGUCAGUAAGCCAAGGUAGCCCAGGGUUCCCUUCUAUAUACUUCUGUCUACUCGUCUUUUCUUUGUCAAUGAAUGUCUCUAUUAAUCAAAGGAACAUUAUGUAUUAGUAACUAAUUAUAAUGAGUUAAUGAUGUCCCUCUUUUUUUUCUCUCUGUUCAACAUUAACCACUGAAGUCUACUAUUCUCUGAAACCCAGAUAAGCUAGUCUGUUUGAUUUCUAAAAAAAAAUGUUCUUGGCCACAUAAAAUGUGUUUGUUAAUCAUGACUUGUAAUGUCUGCUGUGCUAUAAGUACCUCUGCUCAUUGUAGUAUAAGCUACUCUUUACAUAUGGUGUGUAUAACUGAAAGCUGCACUUCCUGGUCACUUCCUUUGAUUUCAUGUAUUUUCCAAGAAGUGGAACAACUAUGGUAAUGUGCUUUCAAGUUCAUUUUCUGUCAAUUCUUUGCUCUUGGUCGAGAGCUUGGGUUUUUUUUGGGGGGGGUUGAAACUAAAUGAUUAUUAUGCAUAUGAAACAUAAUUCUCUGCAUGUGUUUUCCCUUCUUAAAAAUGACAUAGACAGUGUUUUAGGAAACACUUUGUCUCCAAUAUGGAUUUAGCCCUUUAGCCACUGGCCCAAGGCCAUUCUCUAUUGGUCACCAAGACAUUUCUGUUAUCACAGGGCCUGAAUCCUAACUUUACUGACAUAUCCCUAACUCUGUGACCUCUCCAUAAAUCAUACAUUUAAGUAAAUAGGAAAGAUAAGGCAGGUUAAGCUCAGAUGACCCUCCCCACACCCCUAUACAAGCCCGCCUACAUUUGACCUCCUAAUGCCAAAGGUUAUGCCAAGGUACAGACGAGUGGUGAGGUUGACUCAUUUAGGAACCAGUAGACAUGUACUGGUUACAGUGCAUUUGGAAAAUAUUCAGACCCCUUUACUUUUUUCCACAUUUUGUUACAUUACAGCUUAUUCUAAAAUUGAUUUUUUUUAAAUCCCCUCAUUAAUCUACACACAAUACCACAUAAUAACAAAGGAAAAAGUUGUUGUUAAAAAAAAACUGAAAUAUUACAUUUACAUAAGUAUUCAGACCCUUUACUCAGUACUUUGUUGAAGCACCUUUGGCAGCGAUUACAGCAUCGAUUCCUCUUGGAUAUGACGCUACAAGCUUGGCACACCUGUAUUUGUGGAGUUUCUCCCAUUCUUCUCUGCAGAUCCUCUCAAGCUCUGUGAAGUUGGAUGGGGAGUUUGAUGCACAGCUAUUUUCAGGCCUCUCCAGAGAUGUUCGAUAGGAUUCAAGUCCGGGCUCUGGCUGGGCCACUCAAGGACAUUCAGAGACUUGUCCCAAAGCCACCCUUGCAUUGUCUUGGCUAUGUGCUUAGGGUCAUUGUCCUGUUGAAAGGUUAACCUUCACCCUAGUCUGAGGUUCUGAGUGCUCUGGAGCAGGUUUUCAUCAAGGAUCUCUCUGUACUUCGCUUUGUAAAUCUUUCGAUACUGACUAGUCUCCCAGUCCCUGCUGCUGAAAAACAUCCCCGGAGCAUGAUGCUGCCACCACCAUGCUUCACCAUAGGGAUAGUGCCAGGUUUUCUCUAGACGUGACGCUUGGCAUUCAGGCCAAAGAGUUCAAUCUUGGUUUCAUCAGACUAGAGAAUCUAGUUUCUAAUGCUCUGAGAGUCCUUAACUCCAAGCGGGCUGUGAUGUGCCUUUUUAUUGAGGAGUGUCUUCCGUCUGGCCACUCUACCAUAAAGGCCAGAUUGGUGGAGUGCUGCAGAGAUGGUUGUCUUUCUGGAAGUUUCUCCCAUCUCCACAGAGGAACUCUGGAGCUCUGUCAGAGUGACCUUCUCCCCGAUUGCAGCCAGCUCUAGGAAGAGCCUUGGUUGUUCCAAACUUCUUCCAUUUAAGAAUGAUGGAGGCCACUCUUCUUGGGGACCUUCAAUGCUGCAGAAAUGUUUUGUUACCCUUCCCCAGAUCUGUGCCUCGACAUAAUCCUUUCUCGACGCUCUAUGUACAAUACCUUCGACCUCAUGGCUCGGUUUUUGCUCUGACAUGCACUGUCAACUGUGGGACCUUAUGUAGACAGGUGUGUGCCUUUCCAAAUCAUGGCCAAUCAAUUGAUUUUACCACAGGUGGACUCCCAAGUUGUAGAAACAUCUCAAGGAUGAUAAAUGAAAACAGGAUGAACCUGAACUCAAUUUUGAGUCUCAUAGCACAGGGUCUGAAUACGUAUGUAAAUAAGCUAUUUCUGUUUUUUUUGUUUGUAAUAAAUUAGCAAAAAAAUGUUUAAACCUGUUUUGUUAUCAUGGGGUAUUGUGUAUAGAUAGAUGAUUAAAAAAAAUAUAUAUAUAUUCAAUUUUAGAAUGUGGAAAAAGUCAAGGGGUCUGAAUACUUUCCGAAAUUUAUGUCCCCUGACUUAUCCCUGUUAUAACACCUGUUAUACCACUGCGUAGGUUACCUCAUUAGCUUGAUUUAGUAUAUUGUAUGGGAUUUGGGAGUAGCCUCGAUCAGGACUCUAUACUGGGUCCAGCCGUUGUGCUGUUUGUUAUGCCGAUGACCCCUUGAUGAGGUUGUUCGGUGUCGGGUUAAAGUCGCUGCAAUAUCUACUGUAACUUUAGCCAAGUAGCCUAACCUGCAAUUUCUACAGUAACUUUUUCUAAGUCGCUGACUGGCAGUAUCUACAGUAACUUUAGCCAAGUAGCCUGACCUCUGGGUUAGGGAGGUUAUAAAGUCAGCGGUCGUACACAAAACGACCGUUGUUAUGACUGUUUUAUGACACCUCUUAUGUUAUUGCUACGACAGCGUUAUGUAGACCGGAUGAUAAGAGGAGCGUAAAGUAGCGUUACCCUGUUGUUUAUAGCAGUGCAAUAACAACAGAUUAGGGUUGCUACGGUAACUUUCCCCCUAAACUCCCCAGGUUUUUCCAGUAAUCCUGGUUUGGGGACAUUCCUGAAAAUUUAGGAGAGCAUUUAGGAGAGCAUUUAGGAGAGCAAUUCCGAGAAUUCUGCAACCAGGCCUUUCUGUAAAAACCAGGGAAUGUUAGGAAAGUUACUGUUAACCUACUACAGACCCAGUCUCCGAGGGGGGUUGGGUUGCCGCUACACACAUUCUAAGGCUCGCUAUAGGACCAGGAUUAAAUGAAGAAUAAGAUGAUCCUAGAUCAAGUUACCCACUGACACCGAUAUCAAGUCAGUUAUGUGUCCCUCCGCCAUAAUGUUUAAUGGAAGGUAGUCUGAUCCUAUACUGAACACAAAUAUAAACGCAACUUGCAACAAUUUGUAAACGUUUUUACUGAGAUACAGUUUAUAGAAGGAAAUCUGUCAAUAGGCCCUAAUCUAUGGAUUUCGGCAAGGGAGCAGCCACUGGUGGGCCUGGGAGGGUCAGCCAAUCAGAAUUUGUUUGUUUUUUUUCCCACAAAAGAGCUUUACAGAAAUACUCCUGAGUACCCCCCGUUCUCAGACGAUCCCGCAGGUGAAGAAGCCGGAUGUGGAGGUCCUUAGCUGACAUGGUUACAUGUGGUCUGCGGUUGUGAGGCCGGUUGGACGUACUGCCAAAUUCUCUACAACAACAUUGGAGGUGGCUGAUGGUAGAGAAAUGAACGUUCAAUUCUCUGGCAACAGCUCUGGUGGACAUUCCUGCAGUCAGCAUGCCAAUUCCACGCUCCCUCAAACUUCAAGACAUCUGUGUUAUUGUGUUGUGACCAAAUUGCACAUUUUAGAUUGGCCUUUUAUUGUCCCCAGCACAAGGUGCACCUGUGUAAUGAUCAUGCUGUUUAAUCAGUUUCUUGAUAUGUCACACCUGUCAGAUGGAUCGAUUAUCUUGGCAAAGGAGAAAUGCUCACUAACAGGGAUGUAAACAAAUUUGUGCAGAAAACUUGAGAGAGAAAUAAGCUUUUUGAGCAUCUGGAACAUUUCUGGGAUAUUUUAAUUUCAGCUCUUCAAACAUGGGACCAACACUUCACAUGUUGUGUUCAUAUUCUAGUUAAGUAUAGAUCUAUAUUAAGGGGCUCUCCGUAUGGACGGACCCUUAAAGCUCUUCUUUUCUGUCUGCUUUUACCUGUCAACAAAUAAAUAAAUAAAAU